GACGAGCGCUGGCGGCGUGCCUAAUACAUGCAAGCCGAACGAACGGAUUGAGGAGCUUGCUCUUCAUGAAGUUAGUGGCGGACGGGUGAGUAACACGUGGGAAACCUGCCCAUAAGUGGGGGAUAACAUUCGGAAACGGAUGCUAAUACCGCAUACAUUAAGACUCCGCAUGGAGUCCUAAUAAAAGACGGCUUUGGCUGUCGCUUAUGGAUGGUCCCGCGGCGUAUUAGUUAGUUGGUGAGGUAAUGGCUCACCAAGACGAUGAUACGUAGCCGGCCUGAGAGGGUGAACGGCCACACUGGGACUGAGACACGGCCCAG
RNAcentral lists this ribosomal RNA (320 nucleotides) under uncultured bacterium. Its description in RNAcentral is "bacterial SSU rRNA". It matches the Rfam family "Bacterial small subunit ribosomal RNA", at positions 28 to 334 of the family's 1533-position model. The record is from RNAcentral.